This 228-nucleotide ribosomal RNA is filed under the name uncultured bacterium. RNAcentral describes it as "partial 16S ribosomal RNA". It matches the Rfam family "Bacterial small subunit ribosomal RNA", at positions 524 to 751 of the family's 1533-position model. The record is from RNAcentral.
UACGUAGGUGGCAAGCGUUGUCCGGAAUUAUUGGGCGUAAAGCGCGCGCAGGCGGUUUCUUAAGUCUGAUGUGAAAGCCCACGGCUCAACCGUGGAGGGUCAUUGGAAACUGGGGAACUUGAGUGCAGAAGAGGAAAGUGGAAUUCCAAGUGUAGCGGUGAAAUGCGUAGAGAUUUGGAGGAACACCAGUGGCGAAGGCGACUUUCUGGUCUGUAACUGACACUGAGG